GGGGGCAGGGGGCUAACUGCAAGUCGACGAGAAACUUGUCUUCGGAUGAGGGAGUAAAGUGGCGCACGGUGUGAGUAACGCGUGAGUAACCUACCUCCGCUGUUCGGGAUAACGCCGGGAAACUGGCGCUAACCCCGAAUGAACUCUCCGGCUGCAGGGUUCGGAGACCAAAGCAGGGCUCUAUACGCAAGAUUAGCGACGUAGAUGGGCUCGCGUGCCUCUAGACUACUACGACGGGUCAAACCGCACCAACGAAGAUCAUGGCCAGACGAAGUGACGAAGCUGUUCUUGUCACCCAGCAACUGAUGCAAUCAUCAUGACGUGCUUGCGUGCGCAGCAGAAACCGCAUCUCGUGAGCUGCUCGGACGUUUCGAACCGAUGAGCUCCGCGUGAAAGAAAAAAGGACAUAAAAAAGAAAAAGCCCUGCUAAGCCGUUACCAAUGCUCCAGAGAGUGAAAAACUAUACCUUCCUUGACCGUCUCAAAACAAAAAAAACCCGCCCCCCCUUUUUUUCCUGAGCCCACCCCAACUACCUACGUUAGGCCCAUUGUUUUUAAUAAACCCCCCGCCUUCCCAGGGGGGUGACCGCCCCCCCAAAACCCCCCCCCCCAUAUUUCCGGGGGUUUUUUUAUAAACCGUCCUUCCGGAGCACCCCUAUGGGUAACAAUUAUCAAAACCCCCAUCAUGUGGGGGUCUGGACUCUAAACACUUAUACCUCCCCCCUUUAAAAACAUGAUCCCCCCCCCGUUUUUCUGUUUUUUUAUUUAAGGUAGAAAAACAAAACAAACCCUGUCUCCCCCUUGAUCGCAUAAAAAAAAGUGUGGGCCCCCUAGGC
This 835-nucleotide ribosomal RNA is filed under the name uncultured bacterium. RNAcentral's name for it is "partial 16S ribosomal RNA". The record is from RNAcentral.